This is a non-coding RNA of Chelmon rostratus (copperband butterflyfish), 1693 nucleotides long. The record is from the annotation of a RefSeq genome assembly. NCBI's taxonomy places the organism in Eukaryota, Metazoa, Chordata, Actinopteri, Chaetodontiformes, Chaetodontidae.
AGCUUAGCAGCUAGUCCCCCAUCAAAAACAACUAUCCACAUCAAUACCCCCUAAUAUACGCAAUAAUACUAAAACAAAACAUUUUUCCCCUCCAGUAUAGGUGAUAGAAAAAGGAAUAUGGAACGACAGAGAAAGUACCGCAAGGGAAUGCUGAAAGAGAAAUGAAACAACUCAGUACAAGCCUAAAAAAGCAGAGAUUAUUGCUCGUACCUUUUGCAUCAUGAUUUGGCUAGAAAAACCCAAGCAAAGAGCACUUUAGUUUGGCCCCCCGAAGCUAAGUGAGCUACUCCAAGACAACCUAUAUAGGGUGAACCCGUCUCUGUUGCAAAAGAGUGGGAAGAGCUUCGAGUAGCGGUGACAGACCUAUCGAACUUAGUUAUAGCUGGUUGUCUGGAAAUUGGAUAGAAGUUCAGCCUCCCGGCUUCUUUACUCAACCAUACUUCUUUAUACUGCCUCGACAUUUAAAGAAACCGAGAGAGUUAAUCAAAGGGGGUACAGCCCCUUUGAUACAAAACACAACUUUUAUAGGAGGAUAAAGAUCAUAAUAAAAUAAGGUAAAGUGUUUAAGUGGGCCUAAGAGCAGCCACCUUAACAGAAAGCGUUAAAGCUCAAACACACAUCUAUACCCAUCAUCCCGAUAAACAAAUCUUAAUCCCCUGACCUUACCAGACCGUUCCAUGCAAACAUGGAAGAGAUUAUGCUAAAAUGAGUAAUAAGAGAAUUAUAGAUUCUCUCCUGCCACAAGUGUAAAUCGGAGCGGACUUUCCGCCGAAUCUUAACGGCCCCAAGCAAAGAGGGUAAUGAAUAAUUAGCCCGAAUAGCCUAGAAAAAUAUUCAAUAAACAACCGUUAAUCCCACACUGGUGUGUCCCCUAGGAAAGACUAAAAGAAAGAGAAGGAACUCGGCAAAUUUAGGUCCCGCCUGUUUACCAAAAACACCGCCUCUUGCAAAACUAAUGAAUAAGAGGUCCCGCCUGCCCUGUGACUAUAUGUUUAACGGCCGCGGUAUUUUGACCGUGCGAAGGUAGCGUAAUCACUUGUCUUUUAAAUGGAGACCUGUAUGAAUGGCAUAACGAGGGCUUAACUGUCUCCUCUUUCAAGUCAAUGAAAUUGAUCUUCCCGUGCAGAAGCGGGAAUAGCAUCAUAAGACGAGAAGACCCUAUGGAGCUUUAGAUACAAGGCAGAUCAUGUAAAACACCCUUCUACAAGAGGAUAAAACUAGAUGAAUACUGCCCUAAUGUCUUUGGUUGGGGCGACCGCGGCGAAAUAAAAAACCCCCGCGUGGAAAGAGGGCACCCUGCCCUCCAAACCAAGAGCUCCCGCUCUAAUAAACAGAAUAUCUGACCUAUAAGAUCCGGCAAUGCCGAUCAACGGACCGAGUUACCCUAGGGAUAACAGCGCAAUCCCCUUCUAGAGUCCAUAUCGACAAGGGGGCUUACGACCUCGAUGUUGGAUCAGGACAUCCUAAUGGUGCAGCCGCUAUUAAGGGUUCGUUUGUUCAACGAUUAAAGUCCUACGUGAUCUGAGUUCAGACCGGAGUAAUCCAGGUCAGUUUCUAUCUAUGAUAUGAUUUUUUCUAGUACGAAAGGACCGAAAAAAUGGGGCCCAUGUUUUAAAUACGCCCCGCCCUUACCUGAUGAAAAACAACUAAAAAAGGUAAAAGGACAUAUCCUCAACGGCCCAGAAAAUGCUGU